GGGAUGACGAUGCGGUGCCCGAUAGGUUGGCUCUCGAGUGGGCAGGGCUGGAGGCGCCGGGCGCCUGAGCCCCCAAGCGGGUGGCCGAGGUGAGCCGGGAAGAUGGCGGAGUGAGAGGAAGAGGCUGAGGGGAGAGGGCCGGCCGCGGCCUGGCGGCCUCGGCCAGAGACAGGUUCACUUGUGUUCCAUUUUGAGUGCCAAUCAGCAAACUGAAAGGAAAGGCUCUUGGUGGAAAAUGAUGGCAUGUGUGGCCAUGAGGUUAAGGGUCUGUUCCUGGCAUCCCAGAGGAAGUUAUCCGGUUACUUUUGCUUAGAAACUGAUCAUAGACAGUGAAAGGUGGAUUCUCCAUUACUGGUGAAGAAAAGUCUUUUCCUUAUCUCUAUGGCAUGUAAUGAGAAAAGAUUCUUUUCUUUAUGUUUCAACUUCUUAAGCCAACAUUUGAUGUGUGGAGCCUGCACCAGCUGGCAUCCCCCAUAGGAGCACACAGCAAGCAUUUUACCAACCCUUACAAGUGAGCAACUGAAAUCAAAGUUUGAUAUGUCCCUGAAGUGAUGUCUUCAGAGUUUUUGAGCUCUGUUUUUGCACCCUAGAGAAGAUUUUUACAGGCAUGCUCUCACAGAAACCAGUCUUCUUGAAUGGUAUCUCCUUUCUAUAAUCUUAGGAGCGUAACGUCUUCUCCCACUGUGCCCUAUUGGAGAACCAAGUAAAUGGAUAAUGCAUCUGCAUGUGAUGCUGUGCCAAGCUGUUUCAACAUAUGUGAAAGGUUGCAGCAAGAGAACCAGAACAGAUUUCCACCCUGAAAUGAGGAACAAACUUUAAAAAAAAAAACAAAAAAAAACCCCAAAACCCACAAUCCUGGAAAAUCCCCUAAUGAGGAUGUCCUAAUCCAGAACAAAGAACUGACUUUGUAGAUAAAUGUCUCGGAUGUCACCUCGUGAAGCAGCUAAUGAGCAGAAACAAAUACAGAAUUACCUUGUCUAUCAUGGAUGAAUGAAUCCUCACAUUCUGUGAUCAAAAACAUCUGCAUGUGUAAAUCCACAUAACCUGUGAAUGUGAAGAGCUUUCACCAGGAAAAGAAGUUGCUCUGCACUGUCUCUUUUGUAGCAAGCCCCUUCCCUAAGAAGGUGAAUCUUUGAGAACCUUCUUGUGCUAAAGUUGAUCCUAUAGUGUUGGGUUUACAUUGUACCUCCAGUCUUCUCCAGCAGCUUCAGCAGCAAAAGGAACAAAAAAAACUCUCUAUGAUCCAAGAGAUGGAACAGAACUUCUUCUUUUUAAUAAAGGAACUGACCUCUGGUGAGAUGGGAGAGGCUACAAGUGUAAUGCUCCAGCUCAUCCCCUCAACGUCCUGGAUGCAGUUUAUAACUUCUUCAUACAGCUGAUGGAGUUGGUUUUUAACUCUCCUUUGGCUACUGGAAAACUGGGAUGGGUACUUUUCCAGGGUGUAGGUGAUGGGAGGUCUGAUAAAGGAAACAAGUUCAGAGCGAGCAGAAAUGCUGAAGGAAGUGUGCUCUUUUUCUGGCUCCUCCUGUAUCUCCUUUCAAACUAAGGAGGAGAUCAUGGUUCUCACGUGUUUACACCAGAGUCUUUGUCUCCAUCACUUGUGACUUAUACGGGAUGUUUUCCUUCCGUUUGAGAGAGAGAAGCUUUGUUGUUAGUUGCUCCCUGCAGUGGUAGUCUGUGUGGUCAAUGAGGUUUCUUGGUGGAAAGGCCAUAAUUGGUUUAUCUGUUUUCUUCCACUUGAACCUGGAACACUUAGUAGUGCACCUUAUUUCAAGCUUGUGUUAAUGUGAAUUUAGCAAAUGUGGUUUGCUGAUUUUAAAAAAAAAUAUAAUUUCAAAUCUGGAUCAAAAAAGGGGUAUAGGCUCUGUUCAUAUUAUUUAUUUUCUUUUAGAAAACCACUGGAGAGAGCCAGGCAACCUAAAAAUGGCUUUUUUUAAAACAAAAAAACA
Long non-coding RNA from Dermochelys coriacea (leatherback sea turtle), 1949 nucleotides. RefSeq lists it as uncharacterized. The record is from RefSeq and is a predicted model, not a curated record. The transcript is spliced from 3 exons. Lineage: Eukaryota; Metazoa; Chordata; Testudines; Dermochelyidae.